GCAAUGCGGCGGCUACAAUGCAGUCGAGCGGACAGAUGGGAGCUUGCUCCCUGAUGUUAGCGGCGGACGGGUGAGUAACACGUGGGUAACCUGGCUGUAGGACUGGGAUAACUCCGGGAAACCGGGGCUAAUACCGGAUGGUUGUUUGAACCGCAUGGUUCAAACAUGAAAUGGGGCUUCGGCUACCACUUACGGAUGGACCCGCGGCGCAUUAGCUAGUUGGUGAGGUAACGGCUCACCCAGGCAACGAUGCAUAGCCGACCUGAGAGGGUGAUCGGCCACACUGGGACUGAAACCCGGCCCAAACUCCUACGGGAGGCAACAGUACGGAAUCUUCCGCAAUGGACCAAAGUCUGACGGAGCAACGCCACGGGAGUGAUGAAGGUUUUCGGAUCGUAUAGCUCUGUUGGUAGGGAAGAACAAGUACCGUUCGAAUAGGGCGGUACCUUGACGGUACCUAACCAAAAUUCCACGGCUAACUACGUGCCAUCAGCCGCGGUAAUACGUAGGUGGCAAGCGUUGUCCGGAAUUAUUGGGCGUAAAGGGCUCGCAGGCGGUUUCUUAAGUCUGAUGUGAAAGCCCCCGGCUCAACCGGGGAGGGUCAUUGGAAACUGGGGAACUUGAUUGCGGAAUAGGAGAGUGGAAUUCCACGUGUAGCGAUGAAAUGCGUAGAGAUGUGGAGGAACACCAGUGCCUAAGGCGACUCUCUGGUCUGUAACUGACGCUGAGGAGCGAAAGCGUGAUUAGCGACCCUGAUUAGAUACCCUGUAGUCCACGUCCGUAAACGAUGAGUGCUCAGUG
This 801-nucleotide ribosomal RNA is filed under the name Bacillus sp. (in: firmicutes). RNAcentral describes it as "bacterial SSU rRNA". It matches the Rfam family "Bacterial small subunit ribosomal RNA", at positions 35 to 822 of the family's 1533-position model. The record is from RNAcentral. Lineage: Bacteria; Bacillati; Bacillota; Bacilli; Caryophanales; Bacillaceae.